Equus caballus (horse) is the source of this 2918-nucleotide long non-coding RNA. The record is from Ensembl. Lineage: Eukaryota; Metazoa; Chordata; Mammalia; Perissodactyla; Equidae.
UCCUCAUUGUUGCCUGGAUGUCGCCUUCCCAAAGGAUCUUGGAGCUAGACUUCCAGGAAGGAAAACCCAGAUUCUCUGCAUUAUGUAUUUCUGAUCUUGGGCUCUGUUUUAAAACUACACUCUGCCGGAGUAUAAUCAUCAGUAAAAUGCAGGAGAUUCAUGCUUUCAACUUUUUGAAAAUUAUGCUUUGACUCUUUUCAUGGCCAGAGGAUGCCCAGGUGGACUCAUGUGCUAGAGCCAACUAACUAAACCGUGUGAGAUAAAUAAAGUCAGUUAUGGGCUGUUCAAGCCCAGGCAUGUCUCUUCCAGGCUCCAAGUCCUAAUGGGUAAGAGAAUUGGAUUUUCACCAACUCUAUGUUUCUCUUUUCUUCCUGAAUCUUUGUUUUUAUUUAUGAUUUUGAAUGUUGGCCAGUUUGGUUGUCGUUCCAAUCGGUGCACUGUCAAUGUAUUAUUCCUCAUUUGUGGCAGCUAUGGUGUACAGAGCCUACCAUGGUUCCUGUGAUUACUGCUCCCCCAUGUUAACACCCUGUACAGUUCCCUCCCUGUAAAUAUGGGCAGGACCUGUGACUUGUUUCUGACCUGCAGAAAAUGGCAAGCAUGAAGGGAUUUUGCAGAUAGGUAAGAUCCACAAACAACUGAUUGUGAGUUACUUGAAAGAGAAAGUACCCUUCACGGGCCUGAUGUAAUCAGGUAAAGCUUUCAAAGAGUGGCUGGGCCUCCCCUGAGUGAGCGAGACUUUUGCCUGCCUUGAAGAAGUAAGCAGCCACAUUAUGAAGUGCCCGUGAAGAGGGCCGCAAGAAAAUGAAUUCUGCCAACAAGUUGAGCAAGCUCGGCACUGAAGUCUUCUGCAGGCAAGCCUGCAGAUGAGAAUGCAGUACUGUUAAAACUUUGAUUGCAGCUGGGUGAGACCUUGAAGCAGAGAACACAGCUAAGGCUUGCCCAGACUCCUGACCCCAGAAAACUGUUAGAUAAUAAACAAGAGUUUGUUGCUUUCAGUCACUAAAUUUGAAGUUAUCUGUUACACAGCAAAAGCAAACGAAUACAGCAGCAAUGCCUGAGAAUUUGGGUUUUGGUCUAUUUGGUAGGGAACAUCUAUUCUCCAUCAGGUGAGAGAUGCCCCAGAAUUUGGUUUUCUAGUCUUUUGUUAAUCUGUUUGUUUUUGCAGGAAUAUAUCUUGCUUCUUCUGGAAAGGAGAAUGGUGCUCUUUCUACUAAUGAACUUUGGGGUUCUAUAUUUAUUCUGUCCGGAGGCUGGUGUUGUACAACCAAAGCAAGAAGCUCUCUGUGUUUCUUGAUAUAAUUGACAAAAGUCUUUACCUGUUAUUGUAUGAGUACUACAUCUUCACCUACCUCUGGAGAAUAUAAAUAAGAUGAUUAUAAAGUCUCUUACAUGAAGUGUCAGUGGCAGAUAGGGAUGCUGUUUGGAGCCUUUGUCAGGCCUCUAUAGAAAAAUCACAGUACAAGCCCUUAGGUAUCUGAAGCAAAGCCCUGCCACCUCCUGCAUCUCACUUACUCUCCUUUUGAGAAAUAGUUCUUGGUCUGCUACUGGGCCUUAGCAGAGACUGAGCUCUUAAUCAUGGGCCACCAAGUUACUAUGCAACUUGAGCUGCCCAUCAUGAACUGGGUGUUAUCUGACCCACUAAGCAAUAAAGUUGGGCAUGAACAGCAACAGUCAUCAUCAAAUGGAAGCAGAAUACGGAGGCACAAGUAGGUUACAUGAAGAAGUGGUAAAUGCCCAUGGUCCCUGCUUCUGCUACACUGCCUUUUUUUCCCAGCCUGCAUCUAUGGCCCUAUAGGGAGUUCUCUACAAUCAGUUGACAAAAGAUGAAAAGACUUAUGCCUGGUUUACAAAUGAUUCUGCCAGAUAUGCAGGCACCACUCAAAAGUGGACAGCUGCAAGGGGCUGGCCCCGUGGCCGAGCGGUUGAGUUCGCGCGCUCCGCUGCAGGCGGCCCAGUGUUUCGUUGGUUUGAAUCCUGGGCGCGGACAUGACAUUGCUCAUCAGGCCACGCUGGGGCAGCAUCCCACAUGCCACAACUAGAAGGACCCACAACAAAGAAUAUACAACUAUGUACUGGGGGGCUUUGGGGAGAAAAAGGAAAAAAUAAAAUCUUAAAAAAAAAAAAAAGUGGACAGCUGCAGCACUACAACCCCUUUCUGAGACAACCCUGAAGAACAGUGGUGAAGGGAAGUCUUCCCAGUGGGCAGAAUUCCAAGAAGUAUAUCUGAUUGUUUGCUGUAGUUGGAAGGAGAAAUGGACAGAUGUGCAAUUCUAUACUGAUUCAUGGGUUGUGGCCAAUGGUUUGGCUAAGUGGUCAGAGACUUGGAGGGAACACAAUUGGAAAAUUCAUGAAAAGGCAAUUUGAGGAAGGGGUUUAUAGAAAUAUCUCUCUGAAUGGGCAAAAAAAGUGAAGAUAUUUGUGUCCCAUGUGAAUGUUCACCAAAGGAUGACCUCAGCAGAGGAGGAUUUUAAUAAUCAAGUGAAUAAGAUGACAUUUUCUGUGGAUACCAGUCAGCCUCUUUCCCCAGCCACCCCUGGCCUUCCCCAAUAGGCUCAUGAACAAUGUGGCCGUGGCGGCAGGGGUGGAGAUUAUGCGUGGGCUCAGCAACAUGAACUUCCACUCACAAAGGCUGAUUUGGCUAAAGUCACUGCUGAGUGCAUCAUCUACCAGCAUUAGAGACCAACACUAAGUCUCAGAUGUGACACCAUUACCCAAGGGGCUCAGCCAAUUACCAGGGGGCAGGUUGAUUACAUGGAACUGCUUUCAUCAUGGAGGGAACAACAUGCUCUUACUGGAACAGACCCUUAUUCUGGAUAUGGACUUUCCCUGCACAAAAUGCUUCUGCCAAAACUAUGAUCCAUGUACUUACAGAAUGCCUUUUCCACCAUCAAAUUAUUCCACACAGCAUUGCUUCUGAU